RNAcentral lists this ribosomal RNA (1372 nucleotides) under uncultured bacterium. RNAcentral describes it as "bacterial SSU rRNA". It matches the Rfam family "Bacterial small subunit ribosomal RNA", at positions 28 to 1381 of the family's 1533-position model. The record is from RNAcentral.
GAUGAACGCUGGCGGCGUGCCUAAUACAUGCAAGUCGAGCGAACGGACGAGAAGCUUGCUUCUCUGAUGUUAGCGGCGGACGGGUGAGUAACACGUGGAUAACCUACCUAUAAGACUGGGAUAACUUCGGGAAACCGGAGCUAAUACCGGAUAAUAUUUUGAACCGCAUGGUUCAAAAGUGAAAGACGGUCUUGCUGUCACUUAUAGAUGGAUCCGCGCUGCAUUAGCUAGUUGGUAAGGUAACGGCUUACCAAGGCAACGAUGCAUAGCCGACCUGAGAGGGUGAUCGGCCACACUGGAACUGAGACACGGUCCAGACUCCUACGGGAGGCAGCAGUAGGGAAUCUUCCGCAAUGGGCGAAAGCCUGACGGAGCAACGCCGCGUGAGUGAUGAAGGUCUUCGGAUCGUAAAACUCUGUUAUUAGGGAAGAACAUAUGUGUAAGUAACUGUGCACAUCUUGACGGUACCUAAUCAGAAAGCCACGGCUAACUACGUGCCAGCAGCCGCGGUAAUACGUAGGUGGCAAGCGUUAUCCGGAAUUAUUGGGCGUAAAGCGCGCGUAGGCGGUUUUUUAAGUCUGAUGUGAAAGCCCACGGCUCAACCGUGGAGGGUCAUUGGAAACUGGAAAACUUGAGUGCAGAAGAGGAAAGUGGAAUUCCAUGUGUAGCGGUGAAAUGCGCAGAGAUAUGGAGGAACACCAGUGGCGAAGGCGACUUUCUGGUCUGUAACUGACGCUGAUGUGCGAAAGCGUGGGGAUCAAACAGGAUUAGAUGCCCUGGUAGUCCACGCCGUAAACGAUGAGUGCUAAGUGUUAGGGGGUUUCCGCCCCUUAGUGCUGCAGCUAACGCAUUAAGCACUCCGCCUGGGGAGUACGACCGCAAGGUUGAAACUCAAAGGAAUUGACGGGGACCCGCACAAGCGGUGGAGCAUGUGGUUUAAUACGAAGCAACGCGAAGAACCUUACCAAAUCUUGACAUCCUUUGACAACUCUAGAGAUAGAGCCUUCCCCUUCGGGGGACAAAGUGACAGGUGGUGCAUGGUUGUCGUCAGCUCGUGUCGUGAGAUGUUGGGUUAAGUCCCGCAACGAGCGCAACCCUUAAGCUUAGUUGCCAUCAUUAAGUUGGGCACUCUAAGUUGACUGCCGGUGACAAACCGGAGGAAGGUGGGGAUGACGUCAAAUCAUCAUGCCCCUUAUGAUUUGGGCUACACACGUGCUACAAUGGACAAUACAAAGGGCAGCGAAACCGCGAGGUCAAGCAAAUCCCAUAAAGUUGUUCUCAGUUCGGAUUGUAGUCUGCAACUCGACUACAUGAAGCUGGAAUCGCUAGUAAUCGUAGAUCAGCAUGCUACGGUGAAUACGUUCCCGGGUCU